This 1211-nucleotide long non-coding RNA is filed under the name Mytilus galloprovincialis (Mediterranean mussel). The record is from RNAcentral. Lineage: Eukaryota; Metazoa; Mollusca; Bivalvia; Mytilida; Mytilidae.
GAAAAGUUACAAAUAUGACUUUCAUUAAAAAUUUAGGUUAAGUCUGUUUAGUACUUUUUAUUGAUUCCGAUGCCUUAUGCAUGUAUUGAUUACGAUAUGGCAUUCAGAAUAAGUCGAUAUCACCAUUGCAUACAUGUAUUCAAAAGUAACAUUUCAAAUAUUGUUUACUCAUUAAUUUAGUUAUUUACCUCUUAAGGUUUUGCUGAAUUGAGUUUGUAAUUGUUUUUUGUCGAGCCUUCAACUUUUGCGAGACAUAGCGAUCCUACAUUCCGUCGGCGUCGGCGUCUUCGUCGUCAUCGGCGGCGUACACACAUAUUCACUCUAUGGUUUUUGAAAUUUUAAAACAUUUCUUAACUUGGCCUUGAUUUGUACCAGACUUGGAACGAAAGCUAGUUUAUGAUUAUACAAUAGUAUCCAGAAGGAAAUGUUAUUAAACGUUUGUACCUGUUUAUCCGUAUUUUACUUUAAAAAGUUUACAUUUAUUGGAUUCAUUAAUUAUCCUGGAUUUUUACCAAACUUGGACAGAAGCUACUCACAAUCUAGAUAGUAUCGAGUGGAUUAUUUUAUUUAUUGUUUUCCUCAUUUUUGUUGAGUUUAUAGCAAUAAACAGCAAAAGUAGGCGAGAUACUGGGUUCCACGGAACCCUUACGAUUUUUGUUCUUUGUAUAAAAACUUACAUCACAUUGCUAACAUCCACUUUAUUUACACGGUGGUGGUUAGGUGUAUCAUUGUCAAUCAUAUCUCAUCUUCCUAUUUUUAUAUCAUAGAGCUAGAUAAACUGUACAAUUUGCAGCACUGACUGUAUCCCAAAACUGAUGAGAAUAUCUAAUGUACUGAACGUUUUCCAUGAAUUGCUGAAACACCCUUCCAAUCUUCAAAUACUGCUGCUUUUUUAAUUUUCAAAAUGAGAACAUAUUACAUUUUUCUAUUGAUUUUUAACUGAAAUAAUAUCUGUUGUUAAAUACGAUUUUAUUUUUUUAUUUUUUAUUUUGAUUUUUGUCGAGCCGGCGACUUUUGUCGCAGAAAUCUCGACAUAGGGAUAGUGAUCUGGCGGCGGCGGCGGCGUUACCUAACUUCUUAUAAGCUUUAUAUUUUAGAAGGUGAAAGACCUGGAUGCUUCAUACUUUAAAUAUAGAUGCCUCAUGUUACGAAGUUUCCGUCAGUCACAUGUCCAAUGUCUUUGACCUCAUUUUCAUGGUUCAGUGACUUCU